This 383-nucleotide ribosomal RNA is filed under the name uncultured Glomeromycotina. Its description in RNAcentral is "SSU rRNA". It matches the Rfam family "Eukaryotic small subunit ribosomal RNA", at positions 670 to 1054 of the family's 1831-position model. Lineage: Eukaryota; Fungi; Glomeromycota. The record is from RNAcentral.
CUGGUAUGUACUGGUGUUAUUGGUUUCUCCUUUCUGAGGAGCCAUGAUGUCAUUAAUUUGGUGUCGUGGGGAAUCAGGACUGUUACUUUGAAAAAAUUAAAGUGUUUAAAGCAGGCACGCGCUUGAAUACAUUAGCAUGGAAUAAUGAAAUAGGACGUUCGAUUCUAUUUUGUUGGUUUCUAGGAUCAACGUAAUGAUUAAUAGGGAUAGUUGGGGGCAUUAGUAUUCAAUUGUCAGAGGUGAAAUUCUUGGAUUUAUUGAAGACUAACUACGGCGAAGGCAUUUGCCAAGGAUGUUUUCAUUAAUCAAGAACGAAAGUUAGGGGAUCGAACACGAUCAGAUACCGUCGUAGUCUUAACCAUAAACUAUGCCGACAGGGAUCG